GGGAUUGUAGUUCAAUCGGUCAGAGCACCGCCCCGUCAGGGCCAGAGCUGCGGGUUCGAGCCCCGUCAGUCCCG
RNAcentral lists this transfer RNA (74 nucleotides) under Caryodaphnopsis malipoensis. RNAcentral describes it as "tRNA-Asp". It matches the Rfam family "tRNA". From Rfam's summary of the family: Transfer RNA (tRNA) molecules are approximately 80 nucleotides in length. Their secondary structure includes four short double-helical elements and three loops (D, anti-codon, and T loops). The record is from RNAcentral. Lineage: Eukaryota; Viridiplantae; Streptophyta; Magnoliopsida; Laurales; Lauraceae.